This 426-nucleotide ribosomal RNA is filed under the name uncultured bacterium. RNAcentral's name for it is "bacterial SSU rRNA". It matches the Rfam family "Bacterial small subunit ribosomal RNA", at positions 356 to 774 of the family's 1533-position model. The record is from RNAcentral.
GGGGAAUUUUGGACAAUGGGGGCAACCCUGAUCCAGCCAUGCCGCGUGAGUGAAGAAGGUCUUCGGGUUGUAAAGCUCUUUCGGCCGGGAAGAAAUCGGCGACUCUAACAUAGUCGCUGGAUGACGGUACCGGACUAAGAAGCACCGGCUAACUACGUGCCAGCAGCCGCGGUAAUACGUAGGGUGCGAGCAUUAAUCGGAAUUACUGGGCGUAAAGCGUGCGCAGGCGGUUUUGUAAGACAGAUGUGAAAUCCCCGGGCUUAACCUGGGAACUGCGUUUGUGACUGCAAGGCUAGAGUACGGCAGAGGGGGGUGGAAUUCCACGUGUAGCAGUGAAAUGCGUAGAGAUGUGGAGGAACACCGAUGGCGAAGGCAGCCCCCUGGGCCUGUACUGACGCUCAUGCACGAAAGCGUGGGGAGCAAACA